AUAAAUAAAUAAAACAGAAAACACACAACACACAACCAAAUGUAGCAGUGAGGCUGGAAGCAAGAUGGAGUCAGUCAUGUUUGAUUUCUCUCCUUACUUAUAAUUCUGCAAAGGAGGUUUCAAUGUUGGGAUGGCAAAUAUUAAGUAUCAACUUGAUUGAAUACAAGAAUGCAAAAUAUUGUUGCUAGGUGUGUCUGAGAGGGCAUUGCCAGAGGAGAUUCACAUCUGAGUCAGUGCACUGGGAGCAGCAGACCCACCCUCAAUCUGGGGGGGCACCAUCCAAUCGGCUGCCAGCCCAGCUAGGAAAAGUAGGCCAAAGAAAACGGAAUGAGUCAACUUGCUGAGUCGUCCAGGCCUUCAUCUUUCUUCUGUGCUGGAUGCUUCCCUGCUCUUGAACAUCAAGACUUCAGGUUCUUUGACUUUUGGACCCUUGGACUUACACCAGUGGUUUGCCAGGUGCUCUCAGGGCUUCCGCCACAGACUGAAGCCUGCACCGUCAGCUUCACUGUCAUAUUUUUCAGGUUUUGGGACUCAGACUGAGCCACUGCUGGCUUCCUUGCUCCUCAGCUUGCAGAUGCCUAUUGUGGGACUUCACCUUACAGUCAUACCCGAUGUGAAGCCUGACUGAGCAGAGUGGAGACCAGCAGCUGCACGUCAAGUGGCCUUCCCAGGACUUGACUCCAUAUGCAUGUUCUCGUCCAUGGGCUCAUACCCAGUCCAAAGGACUUUACCCCAGCUCCAUCUUUGCCCAGACACACUUGAGGCUGCAGGGUUUUGCUUCCCAAGGCCCUCACCAGAAUCAGAUGCUGGCACCAUGCUUCCUGUACAGCUUAUAAAACCGUGAGCCAAUUAAAUCUCUUUUCCUUAUAAAUUGCCAAGCCUCAGGUAUUCAUUUAUAGCAAUGGAAAUGGACCAACAGAGGUAGUCUGCUUUAUAAUGGGUCAGAACGUGAAUCACAUGAGGAUACGAUAGUGCUUGUUAUUCCUGAAUUUUCCACAUCAUACAAUUCACCUUCUGGGCUCCAUAUAGGGGAAGUGAUUCUGGAAAACGUGGUUCCCACUUCAGAAGGAACAGUGGUGUUGGGGACACGUUGACAACAGAAAGUCUAGCACAGUCCACCCCAUUCAAAAAUAAGCAUCUGUAGACAUUUUCAACUUCCAAAUAAAAGCAGCAACAAUACUAUUUUCCACCUAAUGUGAUGCAACUAUUCAUUUUACAACCCAAAGACCUUUAAUCUUCUCUAUGGAAGAGAUAUUUGAAAAUGCUAGUCCGUCUCCCAGAUGACUAACAACCCCUUUUGCUCUUUCAUGCUAUAAAUACCAAGGAUCAACCAAUAUAAACCUAUAUUACAUAGAGGGGUAUGAAGGCACUGAGACAAAAAGCAGAGGACUCAGUUAAUACAGAAACUAUAUUCACAUCAGCUGGGCAUGGUGGCACAUGUCUGUAGAGCUACUCAGAGGGCUGAGGUGGU
This 1471-nucleotide long non-coding RNA is filed under the name Homo sapiens (human). RNAcentral describes it as "HSALNT0398268". The record is from RNAcentral. Lineage: Eukaryota; Metazoa; Chordata; Mammalia; Primates; Hominidae.